UGGAAGUGUGGUCGAGCACCCGGGGUAAUCGGGAGGGUGCAAGCGUGAAUCGGAAGUACUGGUCGUAAAGGGCGCGUGGGCGGCUGGAUAAGAGGGGUGUGAAAUCCCCGGGCUUAACCUGGGAACUGCAUCCAUAACUGUCGGGCUAGAGUACAGUAGAGGGUGGUGGAAUUGCCUGUGUAGCGGUGAAAUGCGUAGAUAUAGGAAGGAACACCAGUGGCGAAGGCGACCACCUGGACUGAUACUGACGCUGAGGUGCGAAAGCGUGGGGAGCAAACAGGAUUAGAUACCCUAGUAGUC
This 300-nucleotide ribosomal RNA is filed under the name uncultured Paenibacillus sp. RNAcentral describes it as "bacterial SSU rRNA". It matches the Rfam family "Bacterial small subunit ribosomal RNA", at positions 496 to 795 of the family's 1533-position model. Lineage: Bacteria; Bacillati; Bacillota; Bacilli; Caryophanales; Paenibacillaceae. The record is from RNAcentral.